RNAcentral lists this ribosomal RNA (1032 nucleotides) under Triticum aestivum (bread wheat). Its description in RNAcentral is "partial small subunit ribosomal RNA". Lineage: Eukaryota; Viridiplantae; Streptophyta; Magnoliopsida; Poales; Poaceae. The record is from RNAcentral.
AUGUGCAAGCAUCCUUGUGCAAGUCUGUAUCAUCGCUUCCAGAGGCAAAUGAUCAAUCAACGCGCACGCAUGGAAACGGAGACGGGCAUCUGCGACCUUCCAGCGGACUGCCUGGCUCUCGUCGCCUCCCUGACCUCCCCCGGCGACGUGUGCAGGCUGGCCGCCACCGCCCCAGCUCUCCGGGCGGCUGCCAACUUCGACGAGGUCUGGGGGAGCUUCCUGCCGGCGGACUGCGUCAACAUCCUCGCGCGGUCUAGUACUGCCAGUGAGGAGCACCGCCGGGAAGGUGAAACGAAGAAGGAGCUCUUCUGCCGACUAUGCGACUGCCCUGUCCUCCUCGACGGCGGCAAGCUGAGCUUCUCUUUGGACAAGCGUAGCGGGGCCAGGAAGUACAUGAUACCAGCGAAAGCUCUGUGGUACGGGUGGAGUGGCUACCACUACGGAGGACUCGUGUGGUCACGCUGCCACCCUCACUCCAGAUUCCGCGAGGUGGCGGUUCUCUCGUACCUGUGCUGGGUGGACGUGGACGUGACCUUGAACACCAAGAACCUCUCCGGCAUCGAUAGAGGCUAUGCGGCCUAUCUUGUAUACAGGGUGCAUUGGUUGCACGCAGACACGGCUCAGAACCAGAACCAAGAAAAUGCAGGGUCAUCGUCCGCGGCCAUUUGCUAUCAUGAGUGCAACCAUCUCGUGCCGCAGAAGCACUCGCGAUCUCUGUUAUGGGACAGGGGCUGGGAACUCGAUGGAUCACCAUCGCCGUCGAUGUCAGCAGACACAACGGAGAAAAUCCGAAGUCAGAAGCAGCGGCUCAUACCUGAUGGCGUGGGCAUGAGGAGAGAUGGACAAUGGAUAGAGCAAGAGAUUAACAUAGAGUUGGACGAGCAGUGUCUGGAGGGGAAGGAGAGCAAUGUUUCCAUUGAGUUUAGAGGGUUCACUAGGUCACAUAGGUGCCAGAUUAUCAUAGAAGGGAUCGAGAUAAGGCCGAGAGGAAUGGAAAAGUUCAAAUCACGACUAAAUUCAUUAGAUAGAUAA